UUUUCAUUGGAUAUAAUAAAAUAUGCCAUUAAUGUGUGCAAAUCAUAUAGGCCUAAAUGAAAUCCAAGGGAGUACAGUUACUGGUAUAUGUAGCCCUACUCAAUGUGAUUAAAUUCUAAGAAAUAUAUACAAUUGAAAUUCAUCGCAGCUCAAUGCUGCCGAAAAUACCUGUAUCGAGUAACACAGAGUGAGUUAUUCUUGUCCUCGGAGAAAGUGUGCUUAUACUGAGAUUUGUUCCGCCUGACUGACAACUAUACAUAGGAUUGUUACGAUUUGAUCUCUCUCUAGUGUUUCUUAUAUCAAGAAUGGGAAUGCAUAAAGGAUAGAUAAUUGAAGGAAAAUACACAAACCUAUAAAA
Long non-coding RNA from Saccostrea echinata, 358 nucleotides. RefSeq lists it as uncharacterized. NCBI's taxonomy places the organism in Eukaryota, Metazoa, Mollusca, Bivalvia, Ostreida, Ostreidae. The transcript is spliced from 2 exons. The record is from RefSeq and is a predicted model, not a curated record.